CCGAGAAAAGCUUCGGCGUGAGGCGGCGUGCCGCCCGUACCCCAAACCGACACUGGUGGUCAGGUAGAGAAUACCAAAGCGAUCGAGCGAAUCCUGGUCAAGGAACUCGGCAAAUCACUCCCGUUCCUUCGGUUUAAGGGAGACCCCCGAUGGUGAAGCGGCUUGCCCGUGGAGCUUUUGGGGGUGGCACAGACCAGGGGGUAGCGACUGUUUACCAAAAACACAGGAGCGUGCGAAGGCGCAAGCCGCUGUAUACGCUCUGACGCCUGCCCGGUGCCGGAAGGUUAAGAGGAUCCGUCAGGCUUCGGCCGAAGCGGUGAAUUCAAGCCCCGGUAAACGGCGGUGGUAACUAUAACCAUCCUAAGGUAGCGAAAUUCCUUGUCGGGUAAGUUCCGACCUGCACGAAUGGCGUAACGACUUCCCCACUGUCUCGACCAGGAGCUCGGCGAAAUUGCAGUACGAGUAAAGAUGCUCGUUAAGCGCAGAAGGACGAAAAGACCCCGGGACCUUUACUAUACCUUGGUAUUGGCAUUCGGUGUGGAUUGUGUAGCAUAGGCGGAAGGCUUCGAAGCCACGGCGCCAGCCGCGGUGGAGCCGCAAGGUGAAAUACCGCUCUGUUCGCAUUGGAUGUCUAACCUCGACCAGUCAUCCUGGUCAGGGACAGUGCCUGGCGGGUAGUUUAACUGGGGCGGUUGCCUCCCAAAGAGUAACGGAGGCGCUCAAAGGUUCCCUCAGCCCGGUUGGCAAUCGGGUGGCGAGUGUAAGUGCACAAGGGAGCUUGACUGCGAGACUGACGGGUCGAGCAGGGACGAAAGUCGGAACUAGUGAUCCGGUGCCGGUGUACGGACGCGGCAUCGCUCAACGGAUAAAAGGUACCCCGGGGAUAACAGGCUGAUCAUUCCCAAGAGUCCAUAUCGACGGGAUGGUUUGGCACCUCGAUGUCGGCUCGUCGCAUCCUGGGGCUGGAGCAGGUCCCAAGGGUUCGGCUGUUCGCCGAUUAAAGCGGCACGCGAGCUGGGUUCAGAACGUCGUGAGACAGUUUGGUCUCUAUCCUCUGCGCUCGUCGGAAUGUUGAGGAGGCCUGCCCAUAGUACGAGAGGACCUGGGUGGACGAACCUCUGGUAUGCCGGUUGUCACGCCAGUGGCACGGCCGGUUGGCUACGUUCGGAAGGGAUAACCGCUGAAAGCAUCUAAGCGGGAAGCCUGCUCCAAGAUAAGCAUUCCAUAGGACUACGGGUCCUUGAAGUCCCCAUGCAGAACACGUGGUUGAUAGGCCGGACGUGGAAGCCCCGCGAGGGGUGGAGCCGACCGGUACUAACGGACGAAAGGCAACACAA
RNAcentral lists this ribosomal RNA (1337 nucleotides) under human gut metagenome. RNAcentral describes it as "bacterial LSU rRNA". It matches the Rfam family "Bacterial large subunit ribosomal RNA", at positions 1608 to 2925 of the family's 2925-position model. The record is from RNAcentral.